AUCAGCCUAGUUACUAGGCAGUGUAGUUAGCUGAUUGCCAAAAGUACCAAUCACUAGCCACACAGCCAGGUAAAAAGGCUUGG
RNAcentral lists this microRNA precursor (83 nucleotides) under Columba livia (rock pigeon). Its description in RNAcentral is "microRNA cli-mir-34c precursor". Its record names the gene cli-mir-34c. The stretch from base 9 to 75 matches the Rfam family "mir-34 microRNA precursor family". Rfam says of the family: Human mir-34a was discovered computationally and later experimentally verified. The mature sequence is excised from the 5' arm of the hairpin. Lineage: Eukaryota; Metazoa; Chordata; Aves; Columbiformes; Columbidae. The record is from miRBase by way of RNAcentral.